RNAcentral lists this transfer RNA (74 nucleotides) under Candidatus Altarchaeales archaeon. RNAcentral's name for it is "Candidatus Altiarchaeales archaeon tRNA-Arg". It matches the Rfam family "tRNA". From Rfam's summary of the family: Transfer RNA (tRNA) molecules are approximately 80 nucleotides in length. Their secondary structure includes four short double-helical elements and three loops (D, anti-codon, and T loops). The record is from RNAcentral. RNAcentral also lists the same sequence under 1 other name. Lineage: Archaea; Nanobdellati; Candidatus Altarchaeota; Candidatus Altarchaeia; Candidatus Altarchaeales.
GGGCCCGUGGGGUAGUUGGGAUAUCCUGGGGGACUUCGGAUCCCCUGACCCGGGUUCGAAUCCCGGCGGGUCCG